CCUACGGGAGGCAGCAGUAGGGAAUCUUCCACAAUGGGCGAAAGCCUGAUGGAGCAACGCCGCGUGGGUGAAGAAGGCCUUCGGAUCGUAAAACCCUGUUGUUAGAGAAGAAAGUGCGUGUGCGUAACUGUUCACGUUUCGACGGCAUCUAACCAGCAAGCCACGGCUAACUACGUGCCAGCAGCCGAGGGAAUUCGGAGGGGGCAAGCGUUAUCCGGAUGUAUUGGGCGUAAAGGGAGCGCAGGCGGUCUUUUAAGUCUGAUGUGAAAGGCUUGGGCUUAAACGGAGUAGUGCAUUGGAAACUGGGUGACUUGAGUGCAGGAGAGGUGAGUGGAAUUCCAUGUGUAGCGGUGAAAUGCGUAGAUAUAAGGAAGAACACCAGUGGCGAAGGCGGCUCACUGGACUGUAACUGACGCUGAGGUUCGAAAGCGUGGGUAGCAAACAGGAUUAGAUACCCUAGUAGUC
RNAcentral lists this ribosomal RNA (465 nucleotides) under uncultured bacterium. RNAcentral's name for it is "partial 16S ribosomal RNA". It matches the Rfam family "Bacterial small subunit ribosomal RNA", at positions 338 to 795 of the family's 1533-position model. The record is from RNAcentral.